RNAcentral lists this ribosomal RNA (509 nucleotides) under Candida albicans. RNAcentral describes it as "eukaryotic LSU rRNA". The stretch from base 146 to 299 matches the Rfam family "5.8S ribosomal RNA". Lineage: Eukaryota; Fungi; Ascomycota; Pichiomycetes; Serinales; Debaryomycetaceae. The record is from RNAcentral.
GGGAUUAUGAUUUGCUUAUUGCACCACAUGUGUUUUUCUUUGAAACAAACUUGCUUUGGCGGUGGGCCCAGCCUGCCGCCAGAGGUCUAAACUUACAACCAAUUUUUUAUCAACUUGUCACACCAGAUUAUUACUUAAUAGUCAAAACUUUCAACAACGGAUCUCUUGGUUCUCGCAUCGAUGAAGAACGCAGCGAAAUGCGAUACGUAAUAUGAAUUGCAGAUAUUCGUGAAUCAUCGAAUCUUUGAACGCACAUUGCGCCCUCUGGUAUUCCGGAGGGCAUGCCUGUUUGAGCGUCGUUUCUCCCUCAAACCGCUGGGUUUGGUGUUGAGCAAUACGACUUGGGUUUGCUUGAAAGACGGUAGUGGUAAGGCGGGAUCGCUUUGACAAUGGCUUAGGUCUAACCAAAAACAUUGCUUGCGGCGGUAACGUCCACCACGUAUAUCUUCAAACUUUGACCUCAAAUCAGGUAGGACUACCCGCUGAACUUAAGCAUAUCAAUAAGCGGA